This 2797-nucleotide long non-coding RNA is filed under the name Homo sapiens (human). RNAcentral's name for it is "ZNF8 divergent transcript, transcript variant 2 (ZNF8-DT)". The record is from RNAcentral. Lineage: Eukaryota; Metazoa; Chordata; Mammalia; Primates; Hominidae.
ACUCGUGGGCAGGAAGCAAGGGCGGACCCCGAGAGAUGACUGAUUGUGGGGGUGGGGACCGUCUGCUCCUCCUAAUGGCUGGGGACCGUGCACGUCUGCGCGGGCCGGACCUGCUCUUCUCGGGAACUUGCGCGGGAGGAGGCCCGGAGCUGCGCCGCUUUACCCUCUGCUCCCCGGUGCCUAAAACGCACACGCAUCAAAGUCACAGGACGAGUUAGAGAUACCUUCUCUCAUGAUGGAGACUUUAUCUUUUGCUCCUUGCCUCCCACCCAUAUUGAAGAGACUAUCAGAAAGCAGACAGGAAGCUCCACAGACAGGCGGGGCUGCUUUAACAGUACGCUUUGCUCGAGGGUGAAGAGGGCGAGAACCAGCUAUCAGGAGAAAGGCAGAGGGAGAUUUGAAACACAGAGGAGGUGAUGAGAAGACACAGCAGAAGAUAUCUGAAGACUGGAAAGAAUGCUGCAACCAACAGGAGAAGGAAAAGACAGAAAUGUGUUUUCCAUUUGGAGCAUCCAGAGGGAGCACAACCAUAUCAACACCUUGAUUUUGAUCCAGUGACAUUGAUUUUGGACUUGUGGCCUCCAGAACUUUUAGAGAAUAAAUUUGCAUUGUUUUAAGCCAACAGGUUGGUGGAAAUUUUUUACAGCAGCCACAGGAAGCAAACACAGACUCCUAACUGGUGCUUAGUCCUAGAAUAUCAGUUUCUGUUCCACUUCUGGAUCUCAUAAUUGCAUCUCAGACAUCAACACUGACUUCAUAUUCUUAAUGCACCAAUUCUACCAUUUCUUCAGGCUGCAAACAGAGAAAAACUUAUUUAAGCAUUCCAGAAUUGACCCAAUAGAAGACUCUCCAGAAAAGACUGCAUGGUCUCUGAAGCAGCAUGAUCAGCAUGACUGGCUGCAUCUGGGCUCCACCGUUUGCCACUUCAGACAGGUCCUUAGCCUCUUAGAGGUUCAUUUUCCUUGCUGUAGCCCGGAGUAAGAAUGUUUAGCCUACAAGAUUUAUUUUGAGGCAUCAAUGAAUCACUAUGUGAGCCUCACACAGUGUCUGGCACUGAUAUUACAAAAUAUGGUUGAUCUUGCCAUCCUUGUUAUUGUCCUGGUGGGGAUUCCUCUCUGUUGAAGAUACGGAGCCUCUAAAAAUGAGUGGCAGAGGCUCCCAGCUCAGGAUCCUUGUCCAGGUCCUAAAGAUCCUCCACUCUGCUUGUCACUCUGUUCAUUAUGUUUGCAUGGCCACCACGGUCAACACUACUGCGGCCUACCUCAAGUUCUCAUGCCUCACUCUCUGAGCUCAUGAGGACACAAGGAUCCUUUGGCAACACAUUAACUACACUCUGUGGCCAUCCCUUGACUUCUGAGAGGAUGUUUCCCUCCUCUCAAUCAAAAGCUCUCUUCCCUCCUGGGCAAGAUCCUUGCAUGCACCCAGCACCCUCACACCUGGUGCCCUCACACCCAGCACUCUCACACGUGGUGCCCUCACACCCAGCACCCUCACACCCAGCACCCUCACACCUGGUGCCCUCACACCCAGCACCCUCACACCUGGUGCCCUCACACCCAGCACCCUCACACCUGGUGCCCUCGCACCCAGCACCCUCACACCUGGUGCCCUCGCACCCAGCACCCUCACACCUGGUGCCCUCGCAACCAGCACCCUCACACCUGGUGCCCUCACACCCAGUGCCCUCACACCCAGCACUCUCACACUUGCACUGUCCUCAUCCCAACUCUGUGGUUCCUCUGGGGAAUCACUGUGGAAUCCCUCAUGGGAGGAUGUUUUCAAAAGAAACAACAGCCCAAUGAAGGGUAUUUGAGGAUGAGAAGCAGGAAAGAAGUCAGUGGGUGGCUGAGUUGUGUCCAGGUUUUGCGUGGCCAUGGAAAAUCAGGUGAAGGACAUUAAAUAUCUUGCAGUGGCUUCUCCAUUAGGAGCAUGAAAUGAGGAAAGGGGCUGUCCUCACAGGCCAGCCAAGAGGGAUGCCUAUGCCAAACAGAAAGACUGACAGUAAACAGAAUCCAGGAUGACAUGACUGAGGUAUGGUGUGCAGGGCAUGGCCCAGGGAGGAGGGUAGAUAAGUAAGCCUGGGUGCACCUUCAGAGGAAGAAAUAACAGAGGCUGCAGGCGAGAGAGUUACAAGGAAGGAGGAGCAGGAAGACACGAGAAAAAUUCAGAUAAACUCAACAUCUCCAGCCUGGGGGAAACGUGAGAGGGUGGUAUGAAGAUACACACGAUGCAUGUUGCUUAGUGAAAGCAGCCAGUCGGAAAAGGCUACGUAGUGAAUGACCCCAACUAUGACAUUCUGAAAAAGGCAAAACUAUGGAGACAGGAUAAAGAUCAGUGGUUGCCAGUGAGGCAGGAGAAUAGGGUCUGGGGGCAGGGAGCCUAAGGCUGAUUCAUGCUGACUUCAUGAACGGAAUCAAAAGGAAAACCCUAAAUUUCCAUGCCCACGUAACAAAAGGAUCAGAGGCUACUCCCUUUGCAACUCCCCCCAACUUUCUGUGUUGCAGAUGAAAAAUGGAAAGUGCCUCGGAUUGGUCCCCUCCUGCAACCAGUCAGACAUCUGCAUAGAGCGUAACUUUGUAACUUCACUUCAGCCUCUGCUUGGUCACCUUCCACAACCAAUCAGACUGGUCAUGGGCCACUAUUUCAUAGGGUGUAAACCAAGUGACCAAUGGGAAACAUCUAGAGGGUAUUUAAACCCCAGAAAAUUCUGCGACCAGUGCUUUUGAGCCUUGCUUGGGCCUGCUCCCACUCUGUGAAGUGCAUUUUUGUUUCAAUACAGCUAUGCUUUUGUUGCUUC